UCAUGUUGGCAGGGUGCGAUGUGGUGUUCGGGAGGGUCCAUUCGUGCCUUGAGCUCUGGUGUCCAAGUCCCCCUGACCGGGGCCAUCGCCCGCUGAGGGUGCAAGGCCUGUUGGGCAGGGCUGUGUCUCCGAUCUCGGCGCGUCGGGUCCCUUCCUUGGAGUCGGGUUGCUUGAGAGUGCAGCCCAAAGUGGGUGGUAAACUCCACCUAAGGCUAAAUACUUGCCACGAGACCGAUAGCAAACAAGUACCGUGAGGGAAAGUUGCAAAGAACUUUGAAGAGAGAGUUCAAGAGUGCGUGAAACCGUUCGGAGGUAAACGGGUGGGAGCGCGAAGGUCGAACGGAUGGGGAGGGAUUCAACUUGGCGUGGCGGCUUCCACGGCUGGUGCGCGUGAAGGGUACGCCGGCCUCCCUUUGCGGGGAGGAUUCGGAUUCCCCGCGUGCUGCUGUGGGUUGAGCUCGUCGUGCCUUGUGCAUUUCCCUGAUCCCCCUCUCCUAGUAGGACGCCGCGACCGGCUGUCGAGGGGAGCCCAGGAGCUGGUGGGAGCAGUUGCGCGGACGAGUGUGGGAUUUGUUCUCUGCGUCCGGUCUGUCUGUCUCCCUCCACCCGCGGGUCGCUCCCUCCGGCCGAGGAUGUGUGCGAGUCGGGCCCUCGUGGUCCCUCGUCCAUGCGCGUGCCCACGACCAUUGUCGGUGCGGGUCGAAAGAACCCAACGGGUGGCGGCCGUUGUCCGUGCGCCGGUCUUUGGACCGUCGCGUGCGGGCUUCGUAGCGUCAGCCGCCGUCGGUCAGGGUGCGGACUCCCGCAGUUGGGGCGCUGGGGGUCGGCGGCGAGUAGGUCGGUUUCCCACCCGACCCGUCUUGAAACACGGACCAAGAAGUCUAACGUGUGGGCGAGUCUUUGGGGUUUAGUGUUAACCCUCGUGAGGCGAAAUAAAAGUGAAGGCCCGUGUAAAAGCGCGGCCCGAGUGGGAUCCCCGGUCUGAUGGCUGGGGCGCACCACU
Molecule: ribosomal RNA, 1003 nt
Filed under: Macellolophus rubromarginatus
Lineage: Eukaryota; Metazoa; Arthropoda; Diplopoda; Polydesmida; Xystodesmidae
Description: partial large subunit ribosomal RNA
Rfam family: Eukaryotic large subunit ribosomal RNA
Source: RNAcentral